This 253-nucleotide ribosomal RNA is filed under the name uncultured bacterium. RNAcentral's name for it is "partial 16S ribosomal RNA". It matches the Rfam family "Bacterial small subunit ribosomal RNA", at positions 524 to 776 of the family's 1533-position model. The record is from RNAcentral.
UACGUAGGGAGCAAGCGUUGUCCGGAAUCAUUGGGCGUAAAGCGCGCGUAGGCGGCCCGAUAAGUCCGCUGUGAAAGUCAACGGCUCAACUGUUGGAUGCCGGUGGAUACUGUCGGGCUAGAGUACGGAAGAGGCAAGUGGAAUUCCUGGUGUAGCGGUGGAAUGCGCAGAUAUCAGGAGGAACACCGGUGGCGAAGGCGGGUCUCUGGGCCGAUACUGACGCUGAGGAGCGAAAGCGUGGGGAGCGAACAGG